UGCCUAAAACUCAGACCUGAGAUUGU
This 26-nucleotide non-coding RNA is filed under the name Homo sapiens (human). The record is from RNAcentral. Lineage: Eukaryota; Metazoa; Chordata; Mammalia; Primates; Hominidae.